This 703-nucleotide long non-coding RNA is filed under the name Cricetulus griseus (Chinese hamster). RNAcentral's name for it is "lncRNA (ENSCGRG00015030979.1)". Lineage: Eukaryota; Metazoa; Chordata; Mammalia; Rodentia; Cricetidae. The record is from RNAcentral.
GUUGUGGAUGGAGAAACUGACUUCAGAAAAUGGAGUGUUAAUGGAAAAGUCUGGGUCAGUUUUCAUCAGUCAAGCCUGCAUCUCCCUUCUAUAGAGACAACAGGUUCUCACUGUGUGGCCCUGGCUGGCCUAGAACUCAUAAUCUAGACCAGGCUGGCCUCAAACUCAGAGACCCUCCAACCUUUGCUUCUGGAGUGCCAAGAUUAAAAAUAUGCACUGCCACACCUGGCUUUUGUGUUUCUGAUUUUGAGACAAAAAUCUCUCCUUGUGUGACCCAGGCUGGCCUUAGACUUAGGAUUUUCUUGCCUCAGCCUUCAGAGAACUGGUUUUCAGGUGCGCACCACCAUACUCAGACAGUAGGGUUUUUGGCUUGGUUGGUUGGGGUUUGUUGUGUUUUGGGACAUGGGGUCUUGAGCACUUAGGCUCAGGCACUGUUCCUGCCUUGACUGUUGGCUUCGAUGACAGGUGCUCAUGUGUGCCUAGCUAAGUAUUUUCAGCUCUGUAACAGCCUUUCACGACAUGUGUAUAUAUCCAGGGGAGGGAUGUCUUCCUUUCACUUUUGGGCUUAAUUUUUUGGAGCCUUAAUGAAGGGUACUCAUAUUCCAUUGGACCAGGAAUAGCAGUGUUUGGAUAGGUAAGAAGUGUUAGGUGAAAUCCAGGUGUGGUAGCUCAUGUCUGUAAUCCUGGCAUUUAUUGAGGCUUG